CGCUUUCGUCACUCUCUGAAAAGGAGGUGAUAUCUUCAUCCUUGUUUGUGACAUUUCUCCUUUUCCCCCUUUCUCAAUCAGUGGUUAAUUAUUUGCACCCAAUUGAUUGCCUUUAUGUUUGUUCAAAAGUCUCAAUUCUUUUCAUUUAUAGCUUGAUAGUUCUACCGUCUACGUAUAGAUAUCAGGACAUUAUACGUUUUCUAACUUUUACUGAUCGAUCAUUAACAUACAUUCAACAAGUCAAAUAGUUUCGAGUUUUUGACGUGGGAGGUAAAACUAGAAGGCCUUUGAAUGACACGCAUUUAUUCUGAUUUUUACAUUUGUUUAGACGAAGAGUGUUCUGUGUAAGAGAAAUAAUCGUUCUUUGUUUUUUUAGUAAGAGCAGCCUUAUCGCAGUUUCUGUUGAUGGUUUUUAGCGAUAAUGGCUCAUUUAAUUAAAUCAGAAAGAAAUUAAUAGGGUGUAACCGAUCCUUUAUUCGCGACUUUCUGAACCGUUUGCAAAGGGGUUUCUGAAAGCACGUGUCAGCUUGAGAGCAAAGGUGGAAAUAAUUUUAUGAUUUUUAAUUUUUUUUCAUCUCAUAACUUUCUCUGCUUCUGUCGUGAUCUCCGCUUCUGUCGAUCUUCUUCUCAAUCUCAUCGUCUCGAUCGAUAAAAAGGAAAGAGCAACAUCGGAGAGGGCAUCGAGCGCGGCAGUUCCGUUCUGGAGAGCGGCGGGGAUGACGUACAUAACAUAAUCAAUCGCGAGAAAGUUCACUUCUCCCUCUCCAAAUGGGUUGAUGGAAAGCCCCAGAAACCAGGAGCGGAGGUAUGAUGAGGAUUCGAUCGAACAUACCUGAGUAUCUUGCGUUUGUUCGUUGUACUGUGAGAAUUGUGGAUUCGUUCUAUGAGCUUGUAAUUGGUGUUGUUGUGUUUGACUUUUUAGUAGAAUGAGUGAGUAGAGAAUGAAACUGGAGUCAUCAAUUUUUGCUCAUUCUUGUUCCGUGACUACAUGACACAAUGUUUUUUGCAUUUGAUGAGCUAGUGCAUAACUGAUUUUGUACUCUCUUUUUCCCUUUGGCCAUUUACAGCUCUGUGAUUUAUAUGAAAAUUAUUCCAUCUUUGACAA
Raphanus sativus (radish) is the source of this 1105-nucleotide long non-coding RNA. RefSeq lists it as uncharacterized. The record is from RefSeq and is a predicted model, not a curated record. Lineage: Eukaryota; Viridiplantae; Streptophyta; Magnoliopsida; Brassicales; Brassicaceae. The transcript has 2 exons.